This 451-nucleotide ribosomal RNA is filed under the name uncultured bacterium. RNAcentral describes it as "bacterial SSU rRNA". It matches the Rfam family "Bacterial small subunit ribosomal RNA", at positions 29 to 524 of the family's 1533-position model. The record is from RNAcentral.
AACGAACGCUGGCGGCAGGCCUAACACAUGCAAGUCGAACGCCGUAGCAAUACGGAGUGGCAGACGGGUGAGUAACACGUGGGAACAUACCCUUCGGUUCGGAAUAACUCAGGGAAACUUGAGCUAAUACCGGAUACGUCCGCGAGGAGAAAGAUUCAUCGCCGGAGGAUUGGCCCGCGUCUGAUUAGCUUGUUGGUGAGGUAACGGCUCACCAAGGCGACGAUCAGUAGCNGGUCUGAGAGGAUGAUCAGCCACAUUGGGACUGAGACACGGCCCAAACUCCUACGGGAGGCAGCAGUGGGGAAUAUUGGACAAUGGGCGCAAGCCUGAUCCAGCCAUGCCGCGUGAGUGAUUGAAGGCCCUAGGGUUGUAAAGCUCUUUUACCCGGGAAGAUAAUGACUGUACCGGGNGAAUAAGCCCCGGCUAACUUCGUGCCAGCCGCCGCCGUAAU